Molecule: ribosomal RNA, 539 nt
Filed under: Shigella sonnei
Lineage: Bacteria; Pseudomonadati; Pseudomonadota; Gammaproteobacteria; Enterobacterales; Enterobacteriaceae
Description: bacterial SSU rRNA
Rfam family: Bacterial small subunit ribosomal RNA
Source: RNAcentral
UCCACGGAAGUUUUCAGAGAUGAGAAUGUGCCUUCGGGAACCGUGAGACAGGUGCUGCAUGGCUGUCGUCAGCUCGUGUUGUGAAAUGUUGGGUUAAGUCCCGCAACGAGCGCAACCCUUAUCCUUUGUUGCCAGCGGUCCGGCCGGGAACUCAAAGGAGACUGCCAGUGAUAAACUGGAGGAAGGUGGGGAUGACGUCAAGUCAUCAUGGCCCUUACGACCAGGGCUACACACGUGCUACAAUGGCGCAUACAAAGAGAAGCGACCUCGCGAGAGCAAGCGGACCUCAUAAAGUGCGUCGUAGUCCGGAUUGGAGUCUGCAACUCGACUCCAUGAAGUCGGAAUCGCUAGUAAUCGUGGAUCAGAAUGCCACGGUGAAUACGUUCCCGGGCCUUGUACACACCGCCCGUCACACCAUGGGAGUGGGUUGCAAAAGAAGUAGGUAGCUUAACCUUCGGGAGGGCGCUUACCACUUUGUGAUUCAUGACUGGGGUGAAGUCGUAACAAGGUAACCGUAGGGGAACCUGCGGUUGGAUCAC